RNAcentral lists this ribosomal RNA (252 nucleotides) under uncultured bacterium. Its description in RNAcentral is "partial 16S ribosomal RNA". It matches the Rfam family "Bacterial small subunit ribosomal RNA", at positions 524 to 776 of the family's 1533-position model. The record is from RNAcentral.
UACGUAGGGGGCAAGCGUUGUCCGGAUUUAUUGGGCGUAAAGAGCGUGUAGGCGGCCAUACAGGUCAGCUGUGAAAACUCGAGGCUCAACCUCGAGACGUCGGUUGAAACCGUAUGGCUGAGUCCGGAAGAGGAGAGUGGAAUUCCCGGUGUAGCGGUGAAAUGCGCAGAUAUCGGGAAGAACACCUAUGGCGAAGGCGGCUUCCUGGCCUGUUCUUGACGCUGAGACGCGAAAGCUAGGGGAGCAAACGGG